UCCGGCUUAUCACCGGCAGUUUCCUCAGAGUUCUCAGCAUUACCUGUUAGCAACAGAGGACGAGGGUUGCGCUCGUUGCGGGACUUAACCCAACAUCUCACGACACGAGCUGACGACAGCCAUGCAGCACCUGUGCUCCCCCCACCCGAAGUGAAGGACUGCCUUUCAGCAAUCCAAAGGGGGCAUGUCGAAUCCUGGUAAGGUUCUUCGCGUUGCCUCGAAUUAAACCACAUGUUCCACCGCUUGUGCGGGUCCCCGUCAAUUCCUUUGAGUUUUAAUCUUGCGACCGUACUCCCCAGGCGGGAUGCUUAACGCGUUAGCUACGCCACUCAAGGGGAACCCCCGAACGGCUAGCAUCCAUCGUUUACAGCGCGGACUAC
This 380-nucleotide unclassified non-coding RNA is filed under the name uncultured Rickettsiales bacterium. Its description in RNAcentral is "contains 16S-23S intergenic spacer region". Lineage: Bacteria; Pseudomonadati; Pseudomonadota; Alphaproteobacteria; Rickettsiales. The record is from RNAcentral.